UGUGGGAGCGAGCCUGCUCGCGAUGGCGGUGUGUCAGUUACCAGUGCUUGUCUGACACUCCGCCAUCGCGAGCAGGCUCGCUCCCACA
This 88-nucleotide unclassified non-coding RNA is filed under the name Pseudomonas corrugata. The record is from RNAcentral. Lineage: Bacteria; Pseudomonadati; Pseudomonadota; Gammaproteobacteria; Pseudomonadales; Pseudomonadaceae.